UGUGUCUGUGAGGGUGUUAAUUAUUGCCCAGGAUGGUCUCAACCUGUGAGGGUGUUGCCAAAGGAAACUAACAUUUGAUUCAGUGGGAUAGGAAAGGCAGACCUACCUUUAAUCAGGUGGGCACCAUCUAAUCAGCUGCAAGCCAAUAUGUAGUGGGCAGAAAAAUUUAAAGCAAUGAGAGGGGCCUAACCUCUCAGCUUACAUCUUUCUCCCAUGCUGGCUGUUUCCUGCCUUCGAACAUGGGACUCCAAGUUAUUCAGUUUUGGGAUUCAGACUGGCUCUCCUUUCUCCUCAGCUUUCAGACAGUCUAUUUUGGGGCCUUUUAUUUAAGAACUAACAGCUUCACCAACCCCAGUAGUGGCAACAUCCCCUCCCAGACUUUCCACCUUUAUCUGAGGAGAUAAACCCUGCUCUGCCUAAAGCAACAGUGAUGACCUCCCCUGAGGCAGUUCCCAGGUGAGAUAAUGUUGAUUCUCCUCAGAAGCCACCCCCAACACCUCUGUU
Molecule: long non-coding RNA, 504 nt
Filed under: Callithrix jacchus (white-tufted-ear marmoset)
Lineage: Eukaryota; Metazoa; Chordata; Mammalia; Primates; Cebidae
Description: lncRNA (ENSCJAG00000057295.2)
Source: RNAcentral